GCAAAAGCAACUUCAUUACUUUGUAAUUUUGAUUCCGAAGUGAAUAUCUUUUCAGUUGAAGAUUAUGGAAACUACCUGCGCAGGUUUUUAGGCUAAUUUCAGUUGAAUAUCAUUUAUAAUUCUUAUUUUAAUAUAUUUAUGAUUAAUUUUUCUGUUAUGAAAUUUUUAGGUAAUAACAAUUGGUCGGAGAUUAUCAUCCUACUACUAUUUCCUCUUCUCAGUACUACUGAUGAUGACAAUGUGAAUGACAAUCUUGAUCUUCUUGUUGUCCCUCAACAUGGGAGAAACCCUAACUACACUGGUUAAUUACACUGUUACUCUUUUGUGUUAUGUGUAAUUGAAUAAAGUGAUGGGUACUUUUACCUAUCGUUCUGUCAAUUAUGUGAUUGUCAGUUUGGUUCAAUUCAACUGAUAAAAUCUCUCGAGAUAUAUGAGAGAUUUUAUUUGUUUAUUUACGUGUAUCGUGUAUUCCUGAAAAAGGAAAUAAAUAAAUAAAUAUUGUUGCUUGUCUAUGUGUU
RNAcentral lists this long non-coding RNA (518 nucleotides) under Citrus maxima (pomelo). Its description in RNAcentral is "long non-coding RNA (CMAX_LNC001200)". Lineage: Eukaryota; Viridiplantae; Streptophyta; Magnoliopsida; Sapindales; Rutaceae. The record is from RNAcentral.